Molecule: long non-coding RNA, 211 nt
Filed under: Nicotiana benthamiana
Lineage: Eukaryota; Viridiplantae; Streptophyta; Magnoliopsida; Solanales; Solanaceae
Description: long non-coding RNA (NBEN_LNC027406)
Source: RNAcentral
AACUAAAAGUAAAUUCCUCCAGUUGACUCUAUCAAACCUAGGGAGCAUACCAAUAUACAUUUUCUGGAUUUGAAAUUUGUCGAGGCAACAUACAGCCUUGAACCUGUCAGCAAGUGAACCUUGCAGCUGCUGGUUUGCCAUAAGAUCAUCUCUGCAUUGUAUGAUUUUCCUGAUGACCCAGGCAGCUUGCUUGGGUGCAUUUACUGUGCCA